Molecule: ribosomal RNA, 365 nt
Filed under: Salmonella enterica
Lineage: Bacteria; Pseudomonadati; Pseudomonadota; Gammaproteobacteria; Enterobacterales; Enterobacteriaceae
Also listed under: 2 other names
Description: partial 23S ribosomal RNA
Rfam family: Bacterial large subunit ribosomal RNA
Source: RNAcentral
UCGUCACACUAUCAUUAACUGAAUCCAUAGGUUAAUGAGGCGAACCGGGGGAACUGAAACAUCUAAGUACCCCGAGGAAAAGAAAUCAACCGAGAUUCCCCCAGUAGCGGCGAGCGAACGGGGAGGAGCCCAGAGCCUGAAUCAGCAUGUGUGUUAGUGGAAGCGUCUGGAAAGGCGCGCGAUACAGGGUGACAGCCCCGUACACAAAAGCGCAUGUGCUGUGAGCUCGAUGAGUAGGGCGGGACACGUGGUAUCCUGUCUGAAUAUGGGGGGACCAUCCUCCAAGGCUAAAUACUCCUGACUGACCGAUAGUGAACCAGUACCGUGAGGGAAAGGCGAAAAGAACCCCGGCGAGGGGAGUGAAA